UGACAUGCACUGGACCGAUCCAGAGAUGGGUUUUCCUUUUUGGCUGGUGUGCAGGUGGUGCAUGGUUGUCGUCAGCUCGUGUCGUGAGAUGUUGGGUUAAGUCCCGCAACGAGCGCAACCCUUGUCCUAUGUUGCCAGCAAGUUGUGUUGGGGACUCGUGGGAGACUGCCGGGGUUAACUCGGAGGAAGGUGGGGAUGACGUCAAAUCAUCAUGCCCCUUAUGUCUUGGGCUUCACGCAUGCUANAUUGGCGUCUACAGAGGGUUGCGAUACCGUAAGGUGGGGCGAAUCUCUUAAAGGGCGUCUUGGUUCGGAUCGGGGUCUGCAACUCGGCCCCGUGAAGGUGGAGUCGCUAGUAAUCGCAGAUNAGA
Molecule: ribosomal RNA, 370 nt
Filed under: Mobiluncus sp.
Lineage: Bacteria; Bacillati; Actinomycetota; Actinomycetes; Actinomycetales; Actinomycetaceae
Description: bacterial SSU rRNA
Rfam family: Bacterial small subunit ribosomal RNA
Source: RNAcentral